CAGAACACAGAUUUUCAGAUGCUCUCUGUGACAUCAUCUCAUUCAGAGCAGACUUUAAGGUGUUCUCCAUGACGUCAUCUCAUUCAGAACACAGACUUUCAGAUGUUCUCCACGGCACAAUCUUGAAGUUGUUUUGUAAAAUAUGAGAGAGUGGAAUGAUAACUCCAGAUGGUUAUGCCUCAUUUCAGAGCAUGCAGCAAGCCAAUGGUGCUCAUUUGGGGCCUGUAUUUUACUUGCCUGUUAUGGAAGAUAAUUCAGGCCAAAGACCUUGUUUCCAUUGUUUCCAAUACCAAAUGACCUGUUUCAGGAUGAGAGGAAACAGCGGUCAUGUAGACAGUCUUUAACUGUGCAGCAGGUGCUGGCACCUGUAGCCACUUAAAUCCAGCCAAGAUAAUCACUCCUCUCUCACUGCAGCUGGCUCACAUCAAGUAUUAUCCUCCAUCACUGGAUCUAUUUGGAGAUAUUAAACCACGGCUUUCCCCCAGACAGUUUCCCUUGCCUUGAUGGAAGGAAACCAAAUCAACAUAAUGUCUUGACAAUGCCUAGUCAAAGACACAGAGAAAGGAAAGUCACAAAACAACAAACAGAAUUCACCAAGUGUUUGAUGAGCAAUCGUAUGCCUGGCGUAUUCACUCACUGCUCCACGCCUGUUGAGCAGGUGCCCCAUUCAGUCUCCAUUCCACAAUUAAGGAGACAGAUCAAUGAGCUGCUGACUGGUAUAUCUGAGACCUCAGAAAGAACCCUCUAGAGAGAGAAUGAUGAGUACAGCCACAGACUCAGAGUUCCAGACCGAGUAUAUUCUCAUCAGCAAUCCUUAAAGAACUGAAAGAUGACAUGCAACAGUAGGAACUGCUUGAUGAUGUACCAACGUGGAUGGGAAAUUUCACAGGGCCUCAUCCCUAGGUGAAGAGCUAUAGGCAAUUAAUGACUACUAAGAUUGAGAGAAUUAGUCUGUCUCAGGGAUGAGGUUCAUAACUCAUAAUAUCCAAUCCUGUGUAAUCUGUCCUUAAAACAUACAUAUAAACAGCACUAAACAGAG
Peromyscus maniculatus bairdii (prairie deer mouse) is the source of this 1039-nucleotide non-coding RNA. NCBI's taxonomy places the organism in Eukaryota, Metazoa, Chordata, Mammalia, Rodentia, Cricetidae. The record is from RefSeq and is a predicted model, not a curated record.